GCCAGUGUGGCACUGUGGUUUAGGUGUUGGACUACGACUCUAGAGACCAGGGUUCAAUUCCCAGUUCAGCCA
This is a non-coding RNA of Phrynosoma platyrhinos (Desert horned lizard), 72 nucleotides long. NCBI's taxonomy places the organism in Eukaryota, Metazoa, Chordata, Lepidosauria, Squamata, Phrynosomatidae. The record is from the annotation of a GenBank genome assembly.